UUUAGAUAUAUAGAUAUAUAUAUUCUAAAAAUGGUUAAAUAAAUCAUAAGCACCACCACCCUGUCUACCGACAUUCACAGUGAGAGUUGUUAAAGACUUAAAUAUUCCUCAUGACUCGUGAGGUUUGGUUGGAUUAAUUCCGGUCGGUCGGUGUAAAUUAAUUCCUCGGGGAUACUGUUUUGCUGAUUGAACAAUUAAGUUGGGGGGAGGUGGAUGUGUAUAAAUUUAAUUCUUGGUAUCACUAUCCUUUCAUUUUCCCGUGACUAGCCAACAAGACUAGGCUGGUCCAGUUUUCUGUUGGCUGGGGAGGGGUAUCAAGAAUGUCGUUUGUGGAUCUGAAGGACACAAUGGAGUGAAUAGCAUCAUUUUCUUGUGCUAGAAAAACAACCAAGAAAUCUACAAAACAGAGGGAGCCAGUGGUCAGCCAACACAACUUGGAACGAUUCAUCUCCCGUAGAUGUUAAAAAUGUCAGACGAUCAUGAAAAUGAGGCACGUAGUGACCACUUCCAACCCUGCAUUUGAAAGUAUAUGAGCACCAUUAGGGGCAAAAUCUUGUCAGCGUACGAUCUUUUAUAAUUUCCUGUAGAGAAAAUGUUAGUAGUUUAGCAGUUGCAAUUUUUCUUUAAAUCAGAAGUCAGAUCAGAAAUUAUCAAAUAAAAGUUUCAUAGAACACUGUUUUCUGAAAUCGGAUUUACUGAGAACUUGCAUAUGCAUAUAUGGUU
Zingiber officinale is the source of this 723-nucleotide long non-coding RNA. RefSeq lists it as uncharacterized. The record is from RefSeq and is a predicted model, not a curated record. Lineage: Eukaryota; Viridiplantae; Streptophyta; Magnoliopsida; Zingiberales; Zingiberaceae. The transcript is spliced from 2 exons.